AGUGAACGCUGGCGGUAGGCCUAACACAUGCAAGUCGAACGGCAGCACAGUAAGAGCUUGCUCUUACGGGUGGCGAGUGGCGGACGGGUGAGGAAUACAUCGGAAUCUACUUUUUCGUGGGGGAUAACGUAGGGAAACUUACGCUAAUACCGCAUACGACCUACGGGUGAAAGCAGGGGAUCUUCGGACCUUGCGCGAUUGAAUGAGCCGAUGUCGGAUUAGCUAGUUGGCGGGGUAAAGGCCCACCAAGGCGACGAUCCGUAGCUGGUCUGAGAGGAUGAUCAGCCACACUGGAACUGAGACACGGUCCAGACUCCUACGGGAGGCAGCAGUGGGGAAUAUUGGACAAUGGGCGCAAGCCUGAUCCAGCCAUACCGCGUGGGUGAAGAAGGCCUUCGGGUUGUAAAGCCCUUUUGUUGGGAAAGAAAAGCAGCAGGUUAAUACCCCGCUGUUCUGACGGUUCCCAAAGAAUAAGCACCGGCUAACUUCGU
RNAcentral lists this ribosomal RNA (491 nucleotides) under uncultured bacterium. RNAcentral describes it as "partial 16S ribosomal RNA". It matches the Rfam family "Bacterial small subunit ribosomal RNA", at positions 29 to 506 of the family's 1533-position model. The record is from RNAcentral.